Molecule: unclassified non-coding RNA, 1347 nt
Filed under: uncultured Neocallimastigales
Lineage: Eukaryota; Fungi; Neocallimastigomycota; Neocallimastigomycetes; Neocallimastigales
Description: partial contains internal transcribed spacer 1, 5.8S ribosomal RNA, internal transcribed spacer 2, and large subunit ribosomal RNA
Rfam family: Eukaryotic large subunit ribosomal RNA (bases 594-1347)
Source: RNAcentral
AAAAUAAUCCUACCCUUUGUGAAUUUUGUUUGUUUGAAUAAUUUUUUUUUUUAAAAAAUUAUUGGAGUCUUUCCCUUUAGAGUUUGCUUUUGAGUUUGUAAAGAAUUCGAAAACAUCUAAAGGGGAUGGUCAAUAAUUUUUUUGAAAAAAGACAUUUUUUAAAAUUAAACUUUUUGUAUUCAUUUGUCUAAAAAUUAUUUUUAUAAUAUAAAAACAACUUUUGACAAUGGAUCUCUUGGUUCUCGCAACGAUGAAGAACGCAGCAAAAUGCGAUAAGUAGUGUGAAUUGCAGAAUACGUGAAUCAUCGAAUCUUUGAACGCAUAUUGCACUUUUUUAGUUUACUAAAAAAGUAUGUCUGUUUGAGUAUCAGUAAAAUAUUCUCAUAAAAAUCAUUGUGUAUUUUUAUGGUUAUGAGUGUUUUACAACGAUACAAGUUGUUUCACUUUAAAUUUUUUUUUAAUAUUGAAAUUUUUCUAAUUUUAAUAAUUAAAAUUGGAUAAAAUUUUCCCGUCAAAAGGAAUAACCUAAACAAUUUUAAAUGAUUAAUUUUAGCAAAAUUUUCGUAAAAAGGAAAAUUUUUAUUAAAAUAACUUGAUCUCAAAUCAGAUAAGAGUACCCGCUGAACUUAAGCAUAUCAAUAAGCGGAGGAAAAGAAACUAACAAGGAUUCCCUUAGUAACGGCGAGUGAAGCGGGAAGAGCUCAAAUUUGAAAUCUUCAAGGUUUUACCUUGACGAAUUGUAGUUUAAAGAAGUGUUUCUGCUGAAGUUUUGGUAAAAGUUCUUUGGAAUAGGACAUCAUAGAGGGUGAGAAUCCGUAUUUGACCAUUAUUUACAGCUUUGUGAUACACUUUCAAAGAGUCGGAUUGUUUGGGAAUGCAGUCCAAAAUGGGUGGUAAAUUUCAUCUAAAGCUAAAUAUUGGCGAGAGACCGAUAGCGAACAAGUACCGUGAGGAAAGAUGAAAAGAACUUUGAAAAGAGAGUUAAACAGUACGUGAAAUUGUCAAAAGGGAAGCGUUUGACACCAGUGUUGUUUUCUCGAAAAUCAAUUAAAAAUGGCUCGAUUUUGUAUUGCUGAGACCUUAAAAGCUCACUGUACAUUUUUCGUGUCUUUUUUAAUGCACUUUUCGUUUAACAAGUCAACAUCAGUUUCUUUUGUUGUAAAAGGGUCAUUGGAAGGUAGCUUUCUUUUCGGAGAAAGUGUAUAUAGCCUUUGGCCUCUGCAAUCGGAGAGACUGAGGUCUGCAGCGUAGACUCUUCGGGUUAGAUACAUUUGUGCUAAGUUAUAGCUUUUUAUAGACAACUUGUUGACUAUAAUUAGUCUUGUAGCUUGCUCGCUUAUGCUAUUU